AGUGAACGCUGGCGGUAGGCCUAACACAUGCAAGUCGAACGGCAGCACAGUAAGAGCUUGCUCUUACGGGUGGCGAGUGGCGGACGGGUGAGGAAUACAUCGGAAUCUACUUUUUCGUGGGGGAUAACGUAGGGAAACUUACGCUAAUACCGCAUACGCCCUACGGGUGAAAGCAGGGGAUCUUCGGACCUUGCGCGAUUGAAUGAGCCGAUGUCGGAUUAGCUAGUUGGCGGGGUAAAGGCCCACCAAGGCGACGAUCCGUAGCUGGUCUGAGAGGAUGAUCAGCCACACUGGAACUGAGACACGGUCCAGACUACUACGGGAGGCAGCAGUGGGGAAUAGUGGACAAUGGGCGCAAGCCUGAUCCAGCCAUACCGCGUGGGUGAAGAAGGCCUUCGGGUUGUAAAGCCCUUUUGUUGGGAAAGAAAAGCAGCAGGUUAAUACCCCGCUGUUCUGACGGUACCCAAAGAAUAAGCACCGGCUAACUUCGUG
RNAcentral lists this ribosomal RNA (492 nucleotides) under uncultured bacterium. RNAcentral describes it as "partial 16S ribosomal RNA". It matches the Rfam family "Bacterial small subunit ribosomal RNA", at positions 29 to 507 of the family's 1533-position model. The record is from RNAcentral.